GUUAGUUUAAAAAGAAAAAACAGAAUCUGAUAAAUCUUUUAAAAAUUGAAAGAAAAUAAAAAUAAAAAUUGAUUUGAAAAAAUUGUACCAAACUAGAACUAGGAGUGGUUAAUAGUUAUUGGUUGUUUUACAGAAUUUGCGAUGUUGGUGUCACUAAAAUAAAAGAGCAUUUUAGUUCAUAUUUAAAUAUAAAAAAAUAAAAGAUAUUUGUUUAAAUGCAAUUCCAAAUCCAAGAAUACACGAGGAUAAGGUUGGAGUCGUGCAACAAAUGAUGAAAAGAUGAUCCGAUAAUGUUGUGUUUAAUGGAAGCAAGGAUAAAAUUGACUUUGAAGGCCACAAUUAAUAAUGUAAAAGAAUGAUAGCUAUUUUUGGAGAAAAUUUGAAUUGAUUUACAGUUUGCUUUUUCAACAAGUUUUUUUUUUUUUUUUUCUUUCUUUUUCUUUUCGAUCUUCUCCAACAUUAAUUAUAUUAUGCCAUAUGCACUUGUCUCUUUUGCAUUCAUUUCAUAUCAAUUCUCUUUAGAUACAUUGAAUUAUUAUCAUUAUUAUUAUAUUAACUAUUUUUUCUCAACUCUAUUUUUUAAGAAAAGUAUUAAUUAAUUAAUGAUAGGAUACUGAUGAAAUAGGGUGACAAGGCAGGUCAAACUGCCAAACAUUCAUCUAAAAAUCAUAAUCUUAGACAUGGGAUAAAAGCGUAACCGAAGCCCGACAGACCGAACUGCAAUGUCCGAAGUAACAACAAAAGUAGCUUAAAUCCUAAAAACUCAAAACAACUUGUAACGUAAAACUCUACUGUGACGUCACAAGAGGCUAGGCAAGCCACAUUUUCCUACCUAGUAAGUUGUUAAAAUUGCUAAGCUGGAAAGCUUUCUUUUCCCUUCCCUAAGCCACCACAUCCACCGACGUUAAAAGACAAAUCAUAAGAAUGAAUAAUAUCAUUGCCACCCGCCAUGAAUGUCUCAGCUACCGGUUUCUCCGCUCCAUAAAAAGAAUCAUAAGAGUGGAAUCUUCUCCCAUGUUUGAUUGAAGCUGCGGUUCUUGAGAUGGCCCCAAGUCGUAGAAGAGGCGCCAACAAAAUCGCCGCUGCUACUGACCACUACCAAUGUAAGCAGGCCAUUGACGGUGCCGCCUGGCUUACUGUUUCAAAUAGUUUGGCGAGAGUAGCGAGUGGGACGGAUGCGCCAGGUCUGUGUGUGGCAGAGAAGGGUGGUCAAUUGGUGGAGGAGGGUAAGAACGACAUGGUUAUGGUUGAUGGUGAUGAUUAUUGGAAUCGACUUGUAUGAGCCUUCUGUUCAUGUUGGAGUUCUGUUUGGAUUGAAUGAAGUAAUCCUUUGAUUUCAAAAAAAUCUGAAUAUGAUUUUUUAAUUUGAAAUUUAGUUCAUCUGAAUUUUUCUCACAGAGAGAAGGGAGAGUCCAAGUAGAAUCUAGAUUCUAGAGUUAAGGUGGAAAAAAAGAUUUUCAGUUGUAUUUCUUUUAAAAAGGAGUUAUACACGUGUCAUUGCAGUGCCAA
This is a long non-coding RNA of Ricinus communis (castor bean), 1509 nucleotides long. RefSeq lists it as uncharacterized. The record is from RefSeq and is a predicted model, not a curated record. The transcript is spliced from 2 exons. Lineage: Eukaryota; Viridiplantae; Streptophyta; Magnoliopsida; Malpighiales; Euphorbiaceae.